UGGGGAAUCUUGCACAAUGGGGGAAACCCUGAUGCAGCGACGCCGCGUGAGUGAUGAAGCCCUUCGGGGUGUAAAGCUCUUUCGGCAGGAACGAUAAUGACGGUACCUGCAGAAGAAGCUGCGGCUAACUACGUGCCAGCAGCCGCGGUAAUACGUAGGCAGCAAGCGUUGUUCGGAGUUACUGGGCGUAAAGAGUGUGUAGGCGGUUUUCUAAGUUCGGUGUGAAAUCUCCCGGCUCAACUGGGAGGGUGCGCCGAAGACUGGGAGGCUUGAGUGCGGGAGAGGAAAGCGGAAUUCCUGGUGUAGCGGUGAAAUGCGUAGAUAUCAGGAGGAACACCUGCGGUGUAGACGGCUUUCUGGACCGUAACUGACGCUGAGACACGAAAGCGUGGGGAGCAAACAGGAUUAGAUACCCUGGUAGUCCACGCCCUAAACGAUGAUGACUAGUUGUUGGGGGAGUUAAAUCCCUUAGUAACGCAGCUAACGCGUGAAGUCAUCCG
RNAcentral lists this ribosomal RNA (500 nucleotides) under uncultured Acidobacteriota bacterium. RNAcentral describes it as "bacterial SSU rRNA". It matches the Rfam family "Bacterial small subunit ribosomal RNA", at positions 355 to 871 of the family's 1533-position model. Lineage: Bacteria; Pseudomonadati; Acidobacteriota. The record is from RNAcentral.